GACCGAAUGAUGUAGUGGUUAGUGCCCCUGACUGCUAAGCCGAAGGUCCCGGGUUCGAUUCCCGGCUUGGGCA
This 73-nucleotide transfer RNA is filed under the name Plutella xylostella (diamondback moth). Its description in RNAcentral is "tRNA-Ser". The record is from RNAcentral. Lineage: Eukaryota; Metazoa; Arthropoda; Insecta; Lepidoptera; Plutellidae.